RNAcentral lists this ribosomal RNA (857 nucleotides) under Cudonia sichuanensis. RNAcentral's name for it is "eukaryotic LSU rRNA". It matches the Rfam family "Eukaryotic large subunit ribosomal RNA", at positions 65 to 939 of the family's 3401-position model. Lineage: Eukaryota; Fungi; Ascomycota; Leotiomycetes; Rhytismatales; Cudoniaceae. The record is from RNAcentral.
CCAACAGGGAUUGCCUCAGUAACGGCGAGUGAAGCGGCAACAGCUCAAAUUUGAAAGCUGGCUCUUUCAGGGCCCGCGUUGUAAUUUGUAGAGGAUGCUUCGGGUGCGGCGCUGGUCUAAGUUCUUUGGAACAAGACGUCAUAGAGGGUGAGAAUCCCGUAUGUGACUGGCUGCCUGUGCCUGUGUGAAGCUCCUUCGACGAGUCGAGUUGUUUGGGAAUGCAGCUCAAAAUGGGUGGUGUACUUCAUCUAAAGCUAAAUAUUGGCCAGAGACCGAUAGCGCACAAGUAGAGUGAUCGAAAGAUGAAAAGCACUUUGGAAAGAGAGUUAAACAGUACGUGAAAUUGUUGAAAGGGAAGCGCUUGCAAUCAGACUUGCGCGGCGUCGAUCAACCUGGGUUCUCCCUGGUGCACUCGGCGCUGCUCAGGCCAGCAUCAGUUUCGGCGGUUGGAUAAAGGCCUAGGGAACGUGGGUUACUUCGGUGACUGUUAUAGCCCUAGGUGCAAUGCAGCCUGCUGGGACUGAGGACCGCGCUUCGGCUAGGAUGCUGGCGUAAUGGUUGUAAGCGACCCGUCUUGAAACACGGACCAAGGAGUCUAACAUCUAUGCGAGUUUUUGGGUGUCAAACCCAUAAGCGUAAUGAAAGUGAACGGAGGUGAGAACCCUUAAGGGUGCAUCAUCGACCGAUCCUGAUGUCUUCGGAUGGAUUUGAGUAAGAGCAUAGCUGUUGGGACCCGAAAGAUGAUGAUCUAUACCUGAAUAGGGUGAAGCCAGAGGAAACUCUGGUGGAGGCUCGCAGCGGUUCUGACGUGCAAAUCGAUCGUCAAAUUUGGGUAUAGGGGCGAAAGACUAAUCGAA